Molecule: non-coding RNA, 61 nt
Filed under: uncultured Catenibacillus sp.
Lineage: Bacteria; Bacillati; Bacillota; Clostridia; Lachnospirales; Lachnospiraceae
Description: pemK RNA
Rfam family: pemK RNA
Source: RNAcentral
AUAAUGAUACUUCCGUAAUUCGCGGCCCGGCCAUAGUAGGCGGGGAGAUGAGAUUUCUAUG